Molecule: ribosomal RNA, 918 nt
Filed under: epibiont metagenome
Description: bacterial SSU rRNA
Rfam family: Bacterial small subunit ribosomal RNA
Source: RNAcentral
GCGGGACCAGCGUCUUAUACCUGUAAAACUACAGAGGCUUCUGGGAAGGAAAUUGUGAAAUUAUGUACUGGUAAGGGGGUAAAACCCGUGUGGUGUUUACUAUGGGUAUCCCUGUAACCGAACGGCAUUCUUUCUGGAACCAGGACCUUGACGCUGGAAAUUCGGAAAAGCCCGUUGGGAGCCAAACCAGGGAUUUAGAAUACCCCUGGGUUAGGUCCACGCCCCUUAACCGGAUGAAUGGUUAAGUCCGUUUGGGAAGUGCUAAGCCAACUUCCAAGUGAUGCCAAGCUAACGCAUUAACAUUCCGCCUGGGGAGUACGGCCGCAAGGUUUAAACUCAAAGGAAUAGACGGGGACCCGCACAAGUGGUGGAGCAUGUGGUUUAAUUCGAAGAUACGCGAAGAACCUUACCUGGCCUUGACAUAUACCAGAAUCUGCCAGAGAUGGUGGAGUGCCUUCGGGAGCUGGUAUACAGGUGCUGCACGGCUGUCGUCAGCUCGUGUCGUGAGAUGUUGGGUUAAGUCCCGCAACGAGCGCAACCCUCGUGACUAGUUACUAACAGCAUAGGCUGAGGACUCUAGUCAGACUGCCUUCGUAAGGAGGAGGAAGGUGAGGACGACGUCAAGUCAUCAUGGCCCUUACGGCCAGGGCGACACACGUGCUACAAUGGGAAGGACAAAGAGAAGCAAAACUGUGAGGUGGAGCAAAUCUAUAAACCUUCUCUCAGUUCGGAUUGCAGUCUGCAACUCGACUGCAUGAAGCUGGAAUCACUAGUAAUCGUGAAUCAGCCAUGUCACGGUGAAUACGUUCCCGGGUCUUGUACUCACCGCCCGUCACACCAUGGGAGUUGAUUUCACCCGAAGCGGGGAUGCUAAAUAGGCUACCCGCCACGGUGGAAUUAGCGACUGGGGUGAGCGAG